Molecule: transfer RNA, 74 nt
Filed under: Clostridium oryzae
Lineage: Bacteria; Bacillati; Bacillota; Clostridia; Eubacteriales; Clostridiaceae
Rfam family: tRNA
About the family: Transfer RNA (tRNA) molecules are approximately 80 nucleotides in length. Their secondary structure includes four short double-helical elements and three loops (D, anti-codon, and T loops). Further hydrogen bonds mediate the characteristic L-shaped molecular structure. tRNAs have two regions of fundamental functional importance: the anti-codon, which is responsible for specific mRNA codon recognition, and the 3' end, to which the tRNAs corresponding amino acid is attached (by aminoacyl-tRNA synthetases). tRNAs cope with the degeneracy of the genetic code in two manners: having more than one tRNA (with a specific anti-codon) for a particular amino acid; and 'wobble' base-pairing, i.e. permitting non-standard base-pairing at the 3rd anti-codon position.
Source: Rfam by way of RNAcentral
GGCUCAGUAGCUCAGCUGGUUAGAGUGCUGGCCUGUCACGCCAGAGGUCGAGGGUUCGAUCCCCUUCUGAGUCG